UACGUAGGUCCCGAGCGUUGUCAGGAUUUAUUGGGCGUAAAGCGAGCGCAGGUGGUUUAUUAAGUCUGGUGUAAAAGGCAGUGGCUCAACCAUUGUAUGCAUUGGAAACUGGUAGACUUGAGUGCAGGAGAGGAGAGUGGAAUUCCAUGUGUAGCGGUGAAAUGCGUAGAUAUAUGGAGGAACACCGGUGGCGAAAGCGGCUCUCUGGCCUGUAACUGACACUGAGGCUCGAAAGCGUGGGGAGCAAACAGG
This 252-nucleotide ribosomal RNA is filed under the name uncultured bacterium. RNAcentral's name for it is "partial 16S ribosomal RNA". It matches the Rfam family "Bacterial small subunit ribosomal RNA", at positions 524 to 776 of the family's 1533-position model. The record is from RNAcentral. RNAcentral also lists the same sequence under 1 other name.